CCUCGUGCAGACGCAAUCCGACCGGAUUUAGCUGUUAUAGGCUGAUAGAUCCUCUGAGGAUGUGCAAAAGGUUUUAUAGUCCUUCAGAGAACUGUUCAUUUAAGUGUUUUAAUGUUCUACUUCGGAGUCUAUUUUAGCACCUCUGUUUCCUUUGCCACUAAUUAUAUAGAAGCACACCUGAGCUACAGGAGCUUCCUGCAUUCACCAUCACCUGAGCUCAGGUCAUGGCCAGAUCCACCUACGCUUCCGUUGGACUCAGGGAUCAAGGCAGAGGUCAAGCCAAUGCAGGAGAAAGCUACUGAAGUGCAGGAAGAACACACAAACUCCACACACAGGGCAUAGAAGAAAAAUCACACCACCAAGAUGCCAAAAAAUGGGAUUUCCGCCUGUUUUGGUGCCAAUUUUCAUCCGGGAAUUUUUUCAUUCCACAUUCCACAGUGGUGGAUUAUGGCUCAUAUGAAAGUAGAUACACUGGCAAAAUUUUCAUAGAAAAGUUAAUAAAUAAAUAAAUA
Long non-coding RNA from Tachysurus fulvidraco (yellow catfish), 512 nucleotides. RefSeq lists it as uncharacterized. NCBI's taxonomy places the organism in Eukaryota, Metazoa, Chordata, Actinopteri, Siluriformes, Bagridae. The record is from RefSeq and is a predicted model, not a curated record. The transcript has 3 exons.